ACGAACGCUGGCGGCGUGCCUAAUACAUGCAGGUAGAACGCUGAAGGAGGAGCUUGCUUCUCUGGAUGAGUUGCGAACGGGUGAGUAACGCGUAGGUAACCUGCCUGGUAGCGGGGGAUAACUAUUGGAAACGAUAGCUAAUACCGCAUAAUAGCAGUUGUUGCAUGACAACUGUUUGAAAGGUGCAAUUGCACCACUACCAGAUGGACCUGCGUUGUAUUAGCUAGUUGGUGGGGUAACGGCUCACCAAGGCGACGAUACAUAGCCGACCUGAGAGGGUGAUCGGCCACACUGGGACUGAGACACGGCCCAGACUCCUACGGGAGGCAGCAGUAGGGAAUCUUCGGCAAUGGACGGAAGUCUGACCGAGCAACGCCGCGUGAGUGAAGAAGGUUUUCGGAUCGUAAAGCUCUGUUGUAAGAGAAGAACGAGUGUGAGAGUGGAAAGUUCACACUGUGACGGUAUCUUACCAGAAAGGGACGGCUAACUACGUG
This 494-nucleotide ribosomal RNA is filed under the name uncultured bacterium. RNAcentral's name for it is "partial 16S ribosomal RNA". It matches the Rfam family "Bacterial small subunit ribosomal RNA", at positions 29 to 507 of the family's 1533-position model. The record is from RNAcentral.